GCCGCGUGCAUGAUGACGGUCCUAUGGAUUGUAAACUGCUUUUGUACGAAAAAAAACACUCCUAUGUAUAUGAUCUUGACUGUAUCGUACCAAUAAGGAUCGGCUAACUCCGUGCCAGCCCCCGCGGUAAUACGGAGGAUCCAAGCGUUAUCCGGAAUCAUUGGGUUUAAAGGGUCCGUAUGCGGUUUAAUAACUCAGUGGUGAAAGCCCAUCCCUCAACGGUGGAACGGCCAUUGAUACUGUUAAACUUGAAUUAUUAGGAAAUAACUAGAAUAUGUAUUGUAGCGUUGAAAUGAUUAGAGAUUACAUGGAAAACCACUUGCGAAGGCAGGUUACUACUAAGGGAUUGACGCUAAUGGACGAAAGCGUGGGUAGCGAACAGGAUUAGAUACCCUGGUAGUCCACGCCGUAAACGAUGGAUACUAUGCUGUUGGGAGCAAUCUCAGUGGCUAAGCGAAAGUGAUAAGUAUCCCACCUGGGGAGUACGUUCGCAAGAAUGAAACUCAAAGGAAUUGACGGGAGCCCGCACAAGCGGUGGAGCAUGUGGUUUAAUUCGAUGAUACUCGAGGAACCUUACCAAGGCUUAAAUGUAGAUUGACCGGUCUGGAAAC
This 611-nucleotide ribosomal RNA is filed under the name Flavobacteriaceae bacterium Se2Ps_2476. Its description in RNAcentral is "bacterial SSU rRNA". It matches the Rfam family "Bacterial small subunit ribosomal RNA", at positions 396 to 1007 of the family's 1533-position model. Lineage: Bacteria; Pseudomonadati; Bacteroidota; Flavobacteriia; Flavobacteriales; Flavobacteriaceae. The record is from RNAcentral.